AUUGAACGCUGGCGGCAGGCUUAACACAUGCAAGUCGAACGAGUGGCGGACGGGUGAGUAAUGUCUGGGAAACUGCCUGAUGGAGGGGGAUAACUACUGGAAACGGUAGCUAAUACCGCAUACCAUCAGAUGUUCCCAGAUGGGAUUAGCUAGUAGGUGGGGUAACGGCUCACCUAGGCCACGAUCCCUAGCUGGUCUGAGAGGAUGACCAGCCACACUGGAACGGAGACACGGUCCAGACUCCUACGGGAGGCAGCAGUGGGGAAUAUUGCACAAUGGGCGCAAGCCUGAUGCAGCCAUGCCGCGUGUAUGAAGAAGGCCUUCGGGUUGUAAAGCACUUUCAGCGGGGAGGCGUUACCCGCAGAAGAAGCACCGGCUAACUACGUGCCAGCAGCCGCGGUAAUUC
Molecule: ribosomal RNA, 406 nt
Filed under: uncultured bacterium
Lineage: Bacteria
Description: partial 16S ribosomal RNA
Rfam family: Bacterial small subunit ribosomal RNA
Source: RNAcentral